RNAcentral lists this ribosomal RNA (465 nucleotides) under Vreelandella stevensii. RNAcentral describes it as "partial 16S ribosomal RNA". It matches the Rfam family "Bacterial small subunit ribosomal RNA", at positions 338 to 795 of the family's 1533-position model. The record is from RNAcentral. Lineage: Bacteria; Pseudomonadati; Pseudomonadota; Gammaproteobacteria; Oceanospirillales; Halomonadaceae.
CCUACGGGUGGCUGCAGUGGGGAAUAUUGGACAAUGGGCGAAAGCCUGAUCCAGCCAUGCCGCGUGUGUGAAGUAGGCCUUCGGGUUGUAAAGCACUUUCAGUGGGGAAGAAAGCCUUGGGGCUAAUACCCUCGAGGAAGGACAUCACCCACAGAAGAAGCACCGGCUAACUCCGUGCCAGCAGCCGCGGUAAUACGGAGGGUGCGAGCGUUAAUCGGAAUUACUGGGCGUAAAGCGCGCGUAGGCGGUCUGAUAAGCCGGUUGUGAAAGCCCCGGGCUCAACCUGGGAACGGCAUCCGGAACUGUCAGGCUAGAGUGCAGGAGAGGAAGGUAGAAUUCCCGGUGUAGCGGUGAAAUGCGUAGAGAUCGGGAGGAAUACCAGUGGCGAAGGCGGCCUUCUGGACUGACACUGACGCUGAGGUGCGAAAGCGUGGGUAGCAAACAGGAUUAGAUACCCGAGUAGUC